CACGCAGUAAACGAUGAUUACUGGUUGUUUGCGAUACACAGUAAGCGACUGAGCGAAAGCGUUAAGUAAUCCACCUGGGGAGUACGUUCGCAAGAAUGAAACUCAAAGGAAUUGACGGGGGCCCGCACAAGCGGAGGAACAUGUGGUUUAAUUCGAUGAUACGCGAGGAACCUUACCCGGGCUUGAAAUGCAUCUGACGUAACCAGAGACGGUUAUUUUCUUCGGAACAGAUGUGUAGGUGC
RNAcentral lists this ribosomal RNA (242 nucleotides) under uncultured Porphyromonadaceae bacterium. RNAcentral describes it as "partial 16S ribosomal RNA". It matches the Rfam family "Bacterial small subunit ribosomal RNA", at positions 796 to 1041 of the family's 1533-position model. Lineage: Bacteria; Pseudomonadati; Bacteroidota; Bacteroidia; Bacteroidales; Porphyromonadaceae. The record is from RNAcentral.